UGUUGCCUACGGGACGCAGCAGUGGGGAAUAUUGGGCAAUGGGCGCAAGCCUGACCCAGCAACGCCGCGUGAAGGAAGAAGGCUUUCGGGUUGUAAACUUCUUUUCUCAGGGACGAAGAAAGUGACGGUACCUGAGGAAUAAGCCACGGCUAACUACGUGCCAGCAGCCGCGGUAAUACGUAGGUGGCAAGCGUUAUCCGGAUUUAUUGGGUGUAAAGGGCGUGUAGGCGGGAGCGCAAGUCAGAUGUGAAAACUCAGGGCUCAACCCUGAGCCUGCAUUUGAAACUGGGAUUCUUGGGUGGUGG
Molecule: ribosomal RNA, 305 nt
Filed under: uncultured bacterium
Lineage: Bacteria
Description: bacterial SSU rRNA
Rfam family: Bacterial small subunit ribosomal RNA
Source: RNAcentral